UGGCUCAGCAGUUAAGAGCACUGGCUGUUCUUCCAGAGGAUCUGGGUUCAAUUCCCAG
This 58-nucleotide transfer RNA is filed under the name Rattus norvegicus (Norway rat). It matches the Rfam family "tRNA", at positions 8 to 63 of the family's 71-position model. Rfam says of the family: Transfer RNA (tRNA) molecules are approximately 80 nucleotides in length. Their secondary structure includes four short double-helical elements and three loops (D, anti-codon, and T loops). RNAcentral also lists the same sequence under 1 other name. The record is from Rfam by way of RNAcentral. Lineage: Eukaryota; Metazoa; Chordata; Mammalia; Rodentia; Muridae.